RNAcentral lists this ribosomal RNA (497 nucleotides) under uncultured bacterium. Its description in RNAcentral is "partial 16S ribosomal RNA". It matches the Rfam family "Bacterial small subunit ribosomal RNA", at positions 28 to 507 of the family's 1533-position model. The record is from RNAcentral.
GAUGAACGCUGGCGGCGUGCCUAAUACAUGCAAGUCGAGCGAACGGACGAGAAGCUUGCUUCUCUGAUGUUAGCGGCGGACGGGUGAGUAACACGUGGAUAACCUACCUAUAAGACUGGGAUAACUUCGGGAAACCGGAGCUAAUAUCGGAUGAUAUUUUGAACCGCAUGGUUCAAAAGUGAAAGACGGUCUUGCUGUCACUUAUAGAUGGAUCCGCGCUGCAUUAGCUAGUUGGUAAGGUAACGGCUUACCAAGGCAACGAUGCAUAGCCGACCUGAGAGGGUGAUCGGCCGCACUGGAACUGAGACACGGUCCAGACUCCUACGGGAGGCAGCAGUAGGGAAUCUUCCGCAAUGGGCGAAAGCCUGACGGAGCAACGCCGCGUGAGUGAUGAAGGUCUUCGGAUCGUAAAACUCUGUUAUUAGGGAAGAACAUAUGUGUAAGUAACUGUGCACAUCUUGACGGUACCUAAUCAGAAAGCCACGGCUAACUACGUG